ACGCUAUUAGAUGGAUGACUCGGCUCAAGAGGCGAUGAAGGGCGUGGCAAGCUACGAAAUUCUAUGGCGAGGCGCAUGCAGCUUUUGAACCAUAGGUUCCUGAAUGAGACUUCUUGUUCUUCGGAACAGUCCGCAAGGACGGCCCACCCAGGGAAGUGAAGCGUCACAGUACCUGGAGGAAAAGAAAUCAAACGAGAUGCUGUUAGUAAAGGCGAUCGAAAGCAGCAUAAGGCAAACUGAAUCUUACCGGAAAACGGUUAAGAGAUGUGGUGUUGCAGGACUUGUUUUUAGCCCUAACUACUCGAUCCAAAGUCUGCUGGAAAGCAGUGUCAUAGAGGGUGAUAGCCCCGUAGGAGUAGAGUAGUGGGUGUACAAGUAUCCUGAGUAGGAUGCAUUGGAAAUUGCGUCUGAAUUUGGGAGGCAUCAACUUCCAACCUUAAAUACAACUUGAGUCCGAUAGCGAAUACGUACAGUGAUGGAACGUUGAAAAGAACUCGUAACAGAGAGUUAAAAGAUCCUGAAAUCUAAUAGUUAUAGUAAGAUACUGCUCUACGGAGUUGUAUCGUACGUUUCGAAUAACGGGCCAGGGAGUUCAUCUUUGUGGCACGGGUAAUUGUUUAAGCAAGAACCCACAGGGAAACCGAUUUUCCGCAGCUUCUUCGUGAAGUCAGGGAUGUGGUGUGAAAGUGCCAUGAGUCACAAGGAUGUUACCCGAAACCGGGCGAUCUAACCUACAGCAGGAUGAAGUGGACCUGACGGUCUGUGGAGGUCCGAAGCGUUGCUGUGCGCAUGCGCUCGUAUGACUGUUGGUUAGGGGUGAAAAGCCAAUCGAGCUCGGUAAUAGCUGGUUCCUGCCGAAAUAAGCCUUAGUUUAGUCUCGAGCGAGAUAGUCUAUGCAGUAGAGCCACGGAUUUGUGAUUUUGGGGGAGAAAUCCUUCGGUUGCAUGUUCAACUCCAAACGUGUAGACAUCGUAGACCUCGGGAAAAAGGGGCGCGGGGUAAACCUGUGUCUCUAUGGGGGAACAACCCUGUCUAUGGUUAAGGUCCCAAAAUGUUUGCUAAGUGUUAAAGGGUGAAGGGUGUGCAUAAUCCGAGACAGCUGGGAGGUAUGCUUAGAAGCAGCAAUCCUUUAAAGAAAGCGUAAUAGCUCACCAUUCAAGAUUAUGUGCCCCGAAAAUGGACGGGACUAAGCAAACUACCGAUACCAUAGUCCGCCGAAAGGCGUGAGGUAGGCAGGCGUACCGCGUGGGCAGAAGCCCUCUCGUAAGAGAUGGUGGACCGCGUGGUAAUGAGAAUCCUGGCAUCAGUAGGAUCUAUAUACAGUGAGAAUCUGUAAUGCCGAAAGCCCCAGGGUUUCUUCGCAAUGUUCGUCAUCGAAGAGUAAGUCGGUCCUAACCCAUGGCCUAAUUGGUCUAGUGGGAAGGGGAAACAGGUUAAAAUUCCUGUACUGUGUAUGUACGUGCGGCAACGCAAGGCCUUUUUCUGACACUUCGGGCUAUACCGACAGUCGUCGUCGCGGCUGUUAACUAAGAUAAGUCUGGUGAGUAUCGUAAUGAUGAGACCCAGAUUAAAUUAGGAAUAGCGGUUCUGUGGACCGUUCGGUAGAUGCCUAGAGUCCGUGAAAAGGAAAAAGGCAAGGAUCAUACGCAUCCGUACCAAGAACCAACACUGGUGUGGCUAGCUGAGAAGGUUAAGGCAUGAAGGUUUAAACUAGUUUAGGGAAUUCGACAGAUUAGCUCCGUAGCUUCGGUUUAAGGAGUCCCUGCGCUCGUACACUUAGUGUGCGACUACAGGGUUCAAAUACUGGGGGGGUCCGACUGUUUAAUAAAAACGUAACGUCUCGCGAGCCUGCAAAGGUGUGUAUGGGACGUGACAUCUGCCCAGUGCCCGGAUCUCAAACCCUCUUUCAAGGGGGCUAAGGAUGGGUAAACGGCGGGGAUAACUAUGAUCCUCUUAAGGUAACGUAAUACCUUGCCGAUUGAAUGUCGGCUUGCAUGAAUGGUGUAACGAGGCCCCUAUUGUCCCAAACUAGUGUCCUCCGAACCUACUAUACUGGUGCGAAGGCCAGUGACCUCCAGUGGGAAGCAAAGACCCCGUAGAACUUUACUACAGCUUGUCGUUGCGGUAUAACGCUUGGUGUAUAGUAUAGGUGGGAGCUGUUUGAUGUCCGACUCGUCAGAGUCGGUCUAGGCAAAAGUGUAAUACCACCCUCCUUGUGUUGUAUUGCUAACUCUCUAAGAGAGGACACCGAUUGGUGGGUAGUUUGGCUGGGGCGGCACCCCGCUGAAACAGUAUCAGUGGGGCCCAAAGGUAAGCUCAUCAGGUUUGGAAAUCCUGAGUAGAGUGCAAGAGCAAAAGCUUGCCUAACUGGAUUCUAAACAUUACGGGAUCCAGGGACGAAAGUCUGGUCUAGCGAACCCCUAUGUCCUUAUUGAUGAGG
This 2440-nucleotide ribosomal RNA is filed under the name marine metagenome. RNAcentral describes it as "bacterial LSU rRNA". It matches the Rfam family "Archaeal large subunit ribosomal RNA", at positions 15 to 2512 of the family's 2987-position model. The record is from RNAcentral.